CGACUUAGCGGCGGACGGGUGAGUAACGCGUGGGUAACCUGCCUUACACUGGGGGAUAACAGUUAGAAAUGACUGCUAAUACCGCAUAAGCGCACAGGGCCGCAUGGUCUGGUGUGAAAAACUCCGGUGGUGUAAGAUGGACCCGCGCCUGAUUAGGUAGUUGGUGGGGUAACGGCCCACCAAGCCGACGAUCAGUAGCCGACCUGAGAGGGUGACCGGCCACAUUGGGACUGAGACACGGCCCAA
Molecule: ribosomal RNA, 246 nt
Filed under: uncultured bacterium
Lineage: Bacteria
Description: partial 16S ribosomal RNA
Rfam family: Bacterial small subunit ribosomal RNA
Source: RNAcentral